This is a long non-coding RNA of Gadus chalcogrammus (walleye pollock), 3433 nucleotides long. RefSeq lists it as uncharacterized. Lineage: Eukaryota; Metazoa; Chordata; Actinopteri; Gadiformes; Gadidae. The transcript is spliced from 6 exons. The record is from RefSeq and is a predicted model, not a curated record.
UAUUCAUCUAGAUUAUUCAUCUAAUUGAUGUAGGAUUAAGGAUUCUUAAUCUACAGUAGCAGACUGAUAAUUUUUAAAUCAACCAAAUUCUAUUGCAGGUUAAAAAUAAAUAUAUAAAUACCACAACAACAAUUGCACAGAAUAUCCACAGCCGGGUGCCUAGGCUACAGGGAUAAGACGCUAACUAUAAGCUUCUUUACAGGAUCAACCCGUGUUGAUUAUAAUCUGUUAAUUAACUCUUUAUUUAACCAUUAAAACCUUGCAAACAUAUAGGACUACAUAAAAAAGCUGGCUCCUACCCUAGCGUAGGCUACUUCUCGGGUAAUAUUGUUUUGCAUAUAAUAAUGGCAAGUUUAUGCUGCUGCAGGUCGGACUCGGCUAGGACCCCUCCCUACAUCCCUUUCGUUUUCGCAUAAGGGGAGUGCUGCUACAAUUGCUUGGCUCUUCACAAGAGCCACAACCUAUAAGUCUUAUCCCGCAGGUAUAGCUUCAUAGAGAGGCGAUGAUGAGUAUGAUAUUAAUUCAAUAUGAUAGCAACGUAAUAGAUAGAAACCAGUCAUCGAUGUUUCAGGGAGUUCCAGAUCUUUUCCCCACAGCAGGUAAUGUCGUCGUAGUUUUUGUGCUGGGAUGUUUCACUGUGUGGGGUACUACGGCCCACAAUGAUUCAACACCCGCCCACACCUUAACAAAAACCCGUCCGACUAGGCCUACGUUAUUAAUCUCAUGGAAUAAUACCUUUGAGACAGAAUUAUGUUUCAAUAGGCGUUUGAUGGACGUUUGACAUUUGGUUUUUGUAUGGGGCUGUAGCACAGUGAUCUGCUUUUCGGUAAUGCCAUCACUCUCGACGUUAAAUUUGGAGAUAAUACUCCUCAUGUCGCCCCCACCCUGUCUAUCCUCCGCCCGAUGUCGGGCGAUAUGGGGGGCCCGCAGGUCUGCCUGGCAACCGGAUUCUACCCGGAUAUCUCGAACAGAGUGCUCCUUAACCCGCUUAAGGAUAUCACCAAUCAACUUUUGAUAUCCCCCAAGAGCAAAUCAUACACUUAUGCUACAUUUUCCAAAGGAAGUAUCAUCAGUAGUUGUAUAGUGGAAGGUGCAGAUAAUGAGGCAGUUCCGACAAAUGCCAACCCAAUAACUGCCUACCAACCAACUAGGCCUACCCCAGUAGCCGUCAACACAACAUCAGCCCACAAAUUAGAAAAUCACACGGAAGUCUUCAACGCAGAACCCUCCGACAAUAAGAGGCUGAGCUCAUACUACCUGCUGAUAAACGGCCUGCGACACAUCCUGACCAAAACCCUUGUUCUCAAUGUGCUGGUGGUCCUCCGAGGUCUGCUGGCCUAGAAGACCACCGCAGGGCACACAUGGACACAUUGGUUGGAAAUAUACUCCAUCAUGCCGUAAUCAUGAUCAGGACCUGAAUCUGAUUCUUCAAAGAGGUCAGGAUGUGGAUUAAGGAUGGAUAGGCAUAUUGUUGUGGUGUAUAGUAUGCCUAAGUAAAUUGUAAUUGACAAUUGAGAAUUUGAAGAGAAAGGAUUAGGAUAUAGUAAAAAUCACAUUAAGGCUUCAUUGUGGUGUUGUUUAUUUUUUCACUUUCGUUUUAUUGUCUGUACAGUCUGUAUGUAUUCCUUUCUUAUUUGUAAAGCGUCUUUGAGCAUUUAGAAAAGCACUGUAAAAAAAAGAUCAAUUAUUAUUAUUAUUAUUGUUAAACUCAAGCAGCCAGCACCUGUUCAAUCUAUCGCUGGGACCGGUUGAAGCUUGAUGGUAUCAGAUAGAUGUGGACAGCUGGGGAAUGAGAAGAAGAGAAAUUUGAAGCAUGAGGUAUAAUAUGUAAUGAAUAAUAACAAUUUAUAGUCUACUGAUUGGACAAACCCCUAUCAUUUAAAUUAAUAUGGUGCACAAACAACUUUGGCCCUUGGGCCAAAAAUAAAACAAAGUUGUUACACAUGUAUUUCUGGGGUCUUCUGGAGGCUUAAGAAGGCUGCUUGUCUGUCUUCUCUUGUUAUCUUGGUGUCAGUCGUGGUGCUUGUUAUUAGUGAGGAAAACCACAUUUUUACUGAAACUUGAAACCAUGGCAACAGAGGAAAUCCUCCAUGCUGAUUACGAUCUAAUAUUCUCUGACAGUUUGUUGAGUAUCGGAAUAUCUGCCCGCAAAGCUUUAAAACAAGGCUGUCAUUGACAAGCACGAUGCUCAUAAGUCAGUUAUGCAUAGAGUUUUAUAGAGUUUUUUUUUGUAAUUAUGUGUAACAUCCACAACCUGGCGAAAUCUAUCAUGUACUGCUGAAUUGGACGUCUUGUUUUUUGGGUUUUCACUUGCAAAAUAUAAAUAAAAAAAGGUUUUCACAGCCCACACCAGCCAACAUAGUCCUAUGUCUUUUCACGCAUUUCACAGGAAAAGAGCAGCGAUUUGGAUUGAACCCGGGUCCUGAUUUGACAGAAGGCCUAUUGCCGUUUCUCUGUAAUAGUGUGUUUCUGCAGGCGAAGUGGUGUCUACAGCUUAGAUGAGCAUUUUUUGUUAUUGACGCUUGGACGUCAUCGAUAGAGCUAUCGACACAAAACUUGUGACACUUGAGUGAGGGGAGAUUUCAUCUAUGAGCACGAUAAAUAACCUGAUCCUGGCUCAAGUGAACUUGUGAUUCCUAGAAUUGAGUUGACCAUAUUAUUUUAUGGAAACUAUAAUAACUUCUACGACUACUUUUGAGUCAGACACAUUCUUACAACAUGCAUCACAUCAAGUGUUAUUUGCACCUGUGGCGAUUUAGAAGAUUUUUUCAAGUGUUCAAAACUUCAGUGUACAGAGAAAUCUAUCCAGAUGGACAGUAUUGGUCAAAGAGGCAAACCUUUACAGCAUGUAAAAUAAGGCCUAUAACAAGUAGCAACAGAUAGCCUACUCUUAGAAUCCUAUCUAAUAGGAUGCUACAAUAAUACUUCCGAUGUAAUCUGGUGUGACGCUGCCCCCUGCUGGAUACAGGUAGAGUUGUCUUUCUCUCAAUAUUUUCCUAAACAGCGAUGGAAGUGAGUAAACCCAGCCCCUUUCGGGUGCAAUCUUUACGGUAACUUAAAAAAGGAAAAAAAUUACCAUUGCUUGGCGAUUGGACCACAUAUUUAGAGAGUGGCAUUUGUUUUAACCAUUUUUUUGGUUUGGUUUGUAGAAGUUUGGAUUGAACCCGGGUAUAAAAAGUGUUUUUACAAAGCAGUUUUUAAUUAUGAGAUGUAAAAGUAUUUCCCAAUACACGUGUGUUACUAUAUCGGUAGAUAUGAAUAAAUGUAACGCCGAUAUUCCCAUCAAUGGAUUUCAGAGCUUCGAACGGUUCUAACCGAGGCUAGAACCGUUGUUUGACAAGGUUAUACUAUUGAAAAAGUAUAAAGAUAAAGAGUGAGAUCAAGAGAUGUUUAAUGUUGCGUGUGUGCGUGAGUGCAUGUGUGUGUGUGUGUG